Molecule: ribosomal RNA, 330 nt
Filed under: uncultured Bacteroidota bacterium
Lineage: Bacteria; Pseudomonadati; Bacteroidota
Description: bacterial SSU rRNA
Rfam family: Bacterial small subunit ribosomal RNA
Source: RNAcentral
GAUGAACGCUAGCGGGAGGCUUAACACAUGCAAGUCGAGGGGCAGCGCAACGUAGCAAUAUGUGGGCGGCGACCGGCGCACGGGUGAGUAACGCGUAUGCAACCUACCCUGUACAGGGGGAUAACCCGGAGAAAUCCGGACUAAUACCCCAUAGAUACGAUAUCGGGCAUCCGAUUUCGUUUAAAGCGGCGACGCGGUACGGGACGGGCAUGCGUAACAUUAGCUAGUUGGCGGGGCAAUGGCCCACCAAGGCGACGAUGUUUAGGGGACCUGAGAGGGUGAUCCCCCACACUGGUACUGAGACACGGACCAGACUCCUACGGGUGGCAG